AGCCCCGAAGUAUAAUAUAUAUAUAUUAGGUUGCAAGCCUAAAGAGGUUAAUAAUGUUGACCGGGGCUU
RNAcentral lists this transfer RNA (69 nucleotides) under Campellolebias dorsimaculatus. RNAcentral's name for it is "tRNA-Cys". Lineage: Eukaryota; Metazoa; Chordata; Actinopteri; Cyprinodontiformes; Rivulidae. The record is from RNAcentral.